Molecule: unclassified non-coding RNA, 441 nt
Filed under: Hevea brasiliensis (rubber tree)
Lineage: Eukaryota; Viridiplantae; Streptophyta; Magnoliopsida; Malpighiales; Euphorbiaceae
Source: RNAcentral
UCAUGUAAUAGCUCAGGAAGCUUCCGACGGGUCAACUGAGCAUCCCGAGUUUCCAGUUCCAUCUCGGCAGCUCGUCUGUCCUCCAUAAUCUGAUCCAAAUCCCUCUCGUCCUCUAAAGAAUCGUCGAGGCCCAAGGACUCGUACUGGUCAUGCUCGUCCAUCCUCCGAUAAUCAUCCAAGAAGUUGUCGUGGUAGAGAUCCUCUCCUUCCUCUUCUUCAUCGGGGUCAGGCUCGUCGGGAAGGAUAUGAGGAUCAACCGCCGCUUCAUCCUCAUCGGGGUAGUUGUCGGAAGUUUGACUGAGAUGAGGAAGCUGGUCUGUUUCGAAACCGGCGGAGGUGGUGGGGGAAUCAGGCGUCGAAGGCGUAUUGCCGGAGGAGUGGCCAUCGGGAGUUCCUCCAGCCAUUUCUCAGGGAAAGGGAGAGGGAGAAGAGAGAAAAUGG